GCUCCCGUAGUUCAAUGGAUAGAACAAGUCUCUCCUAAAGAUUAGAUACGAGUUCGAUUCUCGUCGGGAGUACCA
RNAcentral lists this transfer RNA (75 nucleotides) under Bacteroidales bacterium. RNAcentral describes it as "tRNA-Arg". It matches the Rfam family "tRNA". Rfam says of the family: Transfer RNA (tRNA) molecules are approximately 80 nucleotides in length. Their secondary structure includes four short double-helical elements and three loops (D, anti-codon, and T loops). RNAcentral also lists the same sequence under 1 other name. Lineage: Bacteria; Pseudomonadati; Bacteroidota; Bacteroidia; Bacteroidales. The record is from RNAcentral.